Molecule: ribosomal RNA, 501 nt
Filed under: uncultured bacterium
Lineage: Bacteria
Description: partial 16S ribosomal RNA
Rfam family: Bacterial small subunit ribosomal RNA
Source: RNAcentral
AUUGAACGCUGACGGCAGGCUUAACACAUGCAAGUCGAGCGGGGGAAGGUAGCUUGCUACCGGACCUAGCGGCGGACGGGUGAGUAAUGCUUGGGAAUCUGCCUAUUAGUGGGGGACAACAUCUCGAAAGGGAUGCUAAUACCGCAUACGUCCUACGGGAGAAAGCAGGGGAUUUUCGGACCUUGCGCCAAUAGAUGAGCCUACGUCGGAUUAGCUAGUUGGUGGGGUACAGGCCUAACAAGGCGACUAUCUGUCGCGGGUCUGAGAGGAUUAUCCGCCACACUGGUACUGAGACACGGGCCAGACUCCUACGGGAGGCAGCAGUGGGGAAUAUUGGACAAUGGGGGGAACCCUGAUCCAGCCAUGCCGCGUGUGUGAAGAAGGCCUUAUGGUUGUAAAGCACUUUAAGCGAGGAGGAGGCUACUCUAGUUAAUACCUAGGGAUAGUGGACGUUACUCGCAGAAUAAGCACCGGCUAACUACGUGCCAGCAGCCGCGGUAA